Molecule: long non-coding RNA, 219 nt
Filed under: Lathyrus oleraceus (garden pea)
Lineage: Eukaryota; Viridiplantae; Streptophyta; Magnoliopsida; Fabales; Fabaceae
Description: Pisum sativum (pea) long non-coding RNA (PSAT_LNC010300)
Source: RNAcentral
AAUAUACAAUAUCUUACAUUUGUCAUAUCAAAGACACACUACAUAUUACUUAAAAACAACUAUUAACAACAUCACACAGAUAAAAUCAAUACUAUCAUUUAAUAAUGAUGACUCUUACUUCAACGAAUCAACUACUAGAGGAUGGUUAAGAUCAUUUAAUCAAAUUAUUACAAGUUAUCCGCUUUGAGCUUGUUGUCGCAGUAUUUGUAACAAAAGUAU